AAAAAUUUAGUUAAUCUAUAACAUUAGUAUGUCAAGCUAAAAUAAUUGGCCCCCCCAGUAAUUUUUA
Molecule: transfer RNA, 67 nt
Filed under: Cleroidea sp. 4 KM-2017
Lineage: Eukaryota; Metazoa; Arthropoda; Insecta; Coleoptera
Description: tRNA-Asp
Source: RNAcentral